AAGCAUGGGGACUGUCUUCCUCUCAUGUUUGCUGCUACUUUGUUUUCUGGGAUCAAUAUCAGUCAUCUGCUUGAACCCUAAUACACCUUUUAUUUUAUUUAUUCAAAACACACUUUUAGAAUACAAGGAAAAGAACUAAUGUGAUUAAAUAAGGUUUAUCCUAAAUCCUUGAGUGUUAUGACAGUUGCAGACUAUACAGAAAGAUUACCCAGGUAUUUAACCCUAAAACGCCAAACGUAUCAUAUUUGAUACAUGAGUUUGUCAGCCCUCCACGUGAGCAGUGUGGAAUUUUUUUGCCUGAAAAACCUGAUGUAUACAAUCAGAUACAUGCAGUGCAUAGAUAAACCAACAGGGGGUAGUAAGUCACUCAUUAGCGGUCCUUCCAGUGACACUUCAAGAUUGCCAUGAAUCAGGAAGUGGACGCCGGUGGUUUUUGGAGAAGAACUUUGCCAAGUUUGAAAAGGUUAAGAUGGCCAAAAAAUACAGUGCUGAAGAUGCUCUCAAAAUGAUUAUGGAUGGGAAUUCAAGUGACAUAGAGCAGAUACAGGAAGAUGAUGAUGAUGACGAUGAUGUGGAGGAUGAAGAAUGGACUCCUACUGCAAAGAUUGGGGAAACCUCAGAUCGCAGUGAUGAGGAUGAGGAGGAAAUCCCAGAUAGUAGUGAUGAUGAUAAAAGACCAGAAGUCCCAGAAGACACAAUAAAAUCAAGGGACACAACACUGAAGCAGUUGGCAAGGGGUAACAUGAAAAGGAAGAUAUAUCGGUGGAAAAGAAAACAGGUUGAACUUCCAUCUGUCGAGUUGGUGCAAUGCGUUGAGGAAGACUCUGAAGAGAGGCUUGACUGGAUGAAGAGACCUGGAGAAGCUGCAGCCCGGGGAGAAGCCCCUACCUCUUUCAGGUUUCAGGCUUCUGUUGGCACUGCCCUCACAAGGGCAGGAAAAGUCAAAAGGUGUGGCAGACCAAUGACCUCUCCAGAAGCAACAUCAACCCCUCCCCGAAAGAGGAAAACCACUGAGGUCCCCCCUGAUGUGAGAAAGGAUGUCAUGAAUCAUUUUCCAACAUGGGAAACCCGACAGAGAUGCAAGAAGUGCACAGGCCACUUUACCCAUGUGUACUGUCAGAAGUGCAUCUUUGCUUGAACAAGGACAGAAACUGUUUUCAAGCCUACCACCAUGCAAAGUGAAAAGGUCGUGAACCGCAAAAUGGGUAAAAAUAACUGAACGUUAUGUUUUUCAGGCUUCCACCCAGUCAGUUCCAUUGGUGGAUUUCCAACUACUGCAUUAUGGCAGCACUUUGUAUGUUUGGAAAUAGACAUUUGUUGGAUUUGUUUUUGAUUCAUUAUGUUUUUGUUUGUUCAGGGAAAAAAACAAUCGCUAAGCAUUGUGACCUGAUGUAUCAAAUAUGAUACAAAUUGAAACUCAUAAAUGGAAAAUGAUAUUUGAAAAAUUUUUUUUUUGUUUGUUAAGAGGGACUAAUAAAGGCUCCAAGUUCAAAAAAUUGGAAUUUUCUGUCAAUUAUUUAAUGG
Salarias fasciatus (jewelled blenny) is the source of this 1524-nucleotide long non-coding RNA. RefSeq lists it as uncharacterized. The record is from RefSeq and is a predicted model, not a curated record. The transcript is spliced from 3 exons. Lineage: Eukaryota; Metazoa; Chordata; Actinopteri; Blenniiformes; Blenniidae.